This 253-nucleotide ribosomal RNA is filed under the name uncultured bacterium. RNAcentral's name for it is "partial 16S ribosomal RNA". It matches the Rfam family "Bacterial small subunit ribosomal RNA", at positions 524 to 776 of the family's 1533-position model. The record is from RNAcentral.
UACGGGGGGGGCAAGCGUUGUUCGGAAUUACUGGGCGUAAAGGGCUCGUAGGCGGCCAACUAAGUCGGAUGUGAAAUCCCCAAGCUUAACUUGGGAACUGCAUCCGAUACUGGAUGGCUUGAAUCCGGGAGAGGGAUGCAGAAUUCCAGGUGUAGCGGUGAAAUGCGUAGAUAUCUGGAGGAACACCGGUGGCGAAGGCGGCGUUCUGGACUGCAACUGACACUGAGGAACGAAAGCCAGGGGAGCAAACGGG